UAGGGAAUCUUCCACAAUGGACGCAAGUCUGAUGGAGCAACGCCGCGUGAGUGAAGAAGGUUUUCGGAUCGUAAAGCUCUGUUGUUGGUGAAGAAGGAUAGAGGCAGUAACUGGUCUUUAUUUGACGGUAAUCAACCAGAAAGUCACGGCUAACUACGUGCCAGCAGCCGCGGUAAUACGUAGGUGGCAAGCGUUGUCCGGAUUUAUUGGGCGUAAAGCGAGCGCAGGCGGAAUGAUAAGUCUGAUGUGAAAGCCCACGGCUCAACCGUGGAACUGCAUCGGAAACUGUCAUUCUUGAGUGCAGAAGAGGAGAGUGGAAUUCCAUGUGUAGCGGUGGAAUGCGUAGAUAUAUGGAAGAACACCAGUGGCGAAGGCGGCUCUCUGGUCUGCAACUGACGCUGAGGCUCGAAAGCAUGGGUAGCGAGCAGG
RNAcentral lists this ribosomal RNA (429 nucleotides) under bacterium. Its description in RNAcentral is "partial 16S ribosomal RNA". It matches the Rfam family "Bacterial small subunit ribosomal RNA", at positions 355 to 776 of the family's 1533-position model. The record is from RNAcentral.